UACAGAGGUCCCAAGCGUUGUUCGGAUUCACUGGGCGUAAAGGGUGCGUAGGUGGUGAGGUAAGUCGGAUGUGAAAUCUCCGAGCUCAACUCGGAAAUGGCAUUGGAAACUACCUUGCUCGAGGGUUGGAGGGGGGACUGGAAUGCUUGGUGUAGCAGUGAAAUGCGUAGAUAUCAAGCGGAACACCAGUGGCGAAGGCGAGUCCCUGGACAACUCCUGACACUGAGGCACGAAAGCUAGGGGAGCAAACGGG
This 253-nucleotide ribosomal RNA is filed under the name uncultured bacterium. RNAcentral describes it as "partial 16S ribosomal RNA". It matches the Rfam family "Bacterial small subunit ribosomal RNA", at positions 524 to 776 of the family's 1533-position model. The record is from RNAcentral.